This 220-nucleotide unclassified non-coding RNA is filed under the name Hevea brasiliensis (rubber tree). The record is from RNAcentral. Lineage: Eukaryota; Viridiplantae; Streptophyta; Magnoliopsida; Malpighiales; Euphorbiaceae.
GGACGACUGAAACCCUAGAAAUUAUAGUCAAACAAAGAGGAGAAACAACAAUAAACCCUAGAAAUUGAAUCAGUAGAGAAAUAAAAUUCUCGAUUUCGAUUUCGAUAUUGUGAUUAUUGGUGAGAGAUUGGUGGAUAAAUAGAUUAUGGCUUACCGAUGAGAGAGAAAAGCGGCUAGCGCUGGUUCGAGAGAGAAGAGAGCAAUAGAUAAUCCUACCCAC